Molecule: long non-coding RNA, 1350 nt
Filed under: Mustela putorius furo (domestic ferret)
Lineage: Eukaryota; Metazoa; Chordata; Mammalia; Carnivora; Mustelidae
Description: lncRNA (ENSMPUG00000030331.1)
Source: RNAcentral
GCAGAAGGGAUGCUGCUGACUUUGACAGAGCCCAUCCCUUCAGAAGGGAUGCUGUGGGGGAGAGGGGUCCGCAGAAGGGGGCUGCAUUUAAAUCAAGACCUGAAUGAGGAGGAAUUAACUCUUCAGUAAGCCCUAGCUUUGGCAAAGGCACCUGCUGUGUUAUGAGCUGCCUUGUGGAGAGACUCCUAUGACAAGAAACUGGGGGUUGGCACCCCACCACAGUGGGCAAGAGACUGAAGUCCAACAACCUGCGAAGAGUGAAAUCUGGCCAAAUGCCACAGAAGCUUGGAAGUAGAUCUUCCCCCAUUCGAGCUUCAGAGACCCUAGCCCUGGGUGACACUUGGCUUACGCCUUAUAAGGGACCCCAAAGUAGAUCUUAACGGAGCCCAAACUCUUGACCAACAGAAACCGCGAGAUAAUAUGUGGGUUUUUAAAUUUUUUUGUUAUUGAAGUAGAGCUGACAUAGAAUGUUAUGUUAGUUUCAGCUGUACAACAUUGUGAUAUGAUAAUUCUGGACAUUUCGCAGUGCUUCCCAGGAUAAACGCAGUCGCCAUCUGUCUCCAUAUAACGUUACUAUGUUAUUAUUGACUAUAUUCCCUGUGUUGAACUUUUCACCUCUGUGACUUAUUUAUUUUGUAACUGGAGGUUUGGAGGUCUUAAUCCUCUUCACCUUAAAUAUGUGUUAAGUUGUUAAGUUUGUGUUAAUAUUGUUUCACAGCAACAGGUAACUAGGGCAUCAGAGUUCAGAUUCUCUCAAAUAUGGAACAUUCCGUGGGAUUCCCUCCACACAGAGAGGGUUUCUACAUAGCUCCUUUGGAGCAAAGCAGAGAAGUGAGGCGAGGCUGUGGCCACCCAGGGUAUGGUAGAAAGACCACGUUCAGCAGAAUCUGGGUCCUCCGUGACAUCCUUGCUGUUAAAAUUUUCAAACACCUGUUAGAAAGAGUCCACCAUGAGCCCAUUAACUGUUGAACUGCACGAGCUGCGACCCGCGUGUCCCAAGAUUAUUCACGGAUAUAAGAGAAUCUUCUCUGUAAAGUGUUGUCACUGGGGCUGAGAUGGAUCUCUCAGGGAAGACCAACUUAACAUGCACUUGACGGUUGGUCUGCAAUUUGCUUACUCUGGGAUCAAAUAAAACUGUUUUGUGGCAAUGCUUUGGGGGUAGGUAUGUAUUUUUCAAAUAAAAAUGUAUCUGUAUUAUAGAACAAAACUUUGUAAUGUAAAGAAUGAAAGACCCCAUGAGUCUUUUUAAACUUUCUGCAUUUAUUACUUUAAAAAAAUGAAAAUUUAGAGAAAUGUCACGAGUCAGCCUUGCCUUUACUCAGUGACCCCCUCGCCCCUCCCGGCCUGCCC